GCGGCGGUGAGCGGCGGGCUAGAAGGCGGCUGCGGCUGCCCUGGCUCUGCUCUUGACCGCCGCCAGCCCCGGGAACUUUCCGACGCCGCCGGGAGACGGGGGACGGGCAGCCCGGGCUGGGACGCGGCCGGACCGCUGGAGCCGUGCGGGCUGGGGAAGAAGGUCUGCUGCGCCUCUGCCAACGUCCCGGGGCCUGGGACCCGGGGGCGUCGUGGGACCCCCGUGGGGACGGGUUUUCCUUUCCGAGACUCCGCGGAGAAACCUGGCGGCCGCCAGCGGAGCAUGCUUUUCCGGGGGGCGCUGGCCCCGAUACUGUGGCACCUUGCGGGGCUCUGCCCGGACCAUGGCUGACGUCGACGGCCCUCGGAGGCCUCCAAGCCACACAACCUGCCCGGACCCCUGGAAAUAUGCCCCAUCCUACCUCCCCGCCUUUCUCCAGACAACAUCCUGUGUCGCUUUCUUUCCUCAGCCUGUUUUCUACAGCAGGGAUUCGCACCCACUGCACCCUAAACCCAGCAGGGGGACUUCCGUGGCUGGAAACUACUGAAUUGUUCUUUCAGAGGUCUCUCAGGACGGCACCACUAGGUCCCCAUUCUCCUUGAUAGUGAACUCUGCAGCCCUCUCCUUGGGGUUUCAAGUCUUUUUUUUUUUUUUUUUUUUUUUAAUGAGACGGAGUCUAGCCCUUGUCGCCCAGGCUGGAGUGCAGUGGCACGAUCUCGGCUCACUGCAACCUCCGCCUCCCGGUUUCGAGCGAUUCUCCUGCCUCAGCCUCCCUAGUAGCUGGGAUUACAGGCACCUGCCACCACACCUGGCUAAUUUUUGUGUUGUUAGUAGAGACGGGGUUUCACCAUGUUGGCCAGGCUGGUAUGGAACUCCUGACCUCAGGAGACGUGUCUUUAGGAAGCAGAGAGGGUUCGAUUCUGGACUCCGCCCAUGACUCACUUCUCUUGUAAAGAAAGAGUUGUCCUUCCUGGUACUCCAGGUUUAUGGGAUGCAGGAUAAUGGAGCAUGCUCUAUCUGGGACAUUGCUAGUCUUAUGACAGAGGGAGAAGACAGCGAUGAGUUUUCGAAGAACUCCAGGAAGUGGCUGCAGAGCAAAGUAGGAUCCUGAUACUGAGCUCAAGUGAUUCAGAAUGAAAAGACCUUGGCACAGACCUGUUAAGGAAGCUCCAUAUAAGGUGAAGAAAACAACAUGCUCAGCCAUGUCCUUGCCUUCUGCACACGGUAGUGCAUUCACUGCCUGAGAAUUCAAGGCUAAAACAAAAAGAGGAGCUUUUGUUCCAACAGAUAAGUACUUACCUUUUUCAAAAAAUGCAUAAGCUGUCCUGGGUGUUUAGCAGUUAUUCGCACAGCUUUCCAAAGACUCACAGCAUUUAAAAGCUAACUCUACAGAGAUUCAACAGCUUCUUCCAGAUCCCACCACAGUGGAAAAGAACUCCGGUGUCCUGGCUCCCUGUCCAGCUCUUCUCUCUCCCCUUCCAGCUGCCAGUUCAGCUUUAAGAAGUUCAUUCUCCACAUUCAGAUGCAGGCAAAUGCGUUUGACUUGAGCAUAUUGAUUUCAGGCAGGUGAGAGUGGAUGUAGCGAUUCAGCUUGACAAAUAUUUAGAUCAGUUAAGUGUCCUUUAUAAAGAAGCACUUGAACUCAGUGUUUCCUUUACCCGACCAUUUCACUCCACAAGCUACCUCCCCAGCAUAAAAUAUUCAAAUUAUUUCUAAAUUUCAUCUACUGAAAAAAUACUUCUAGGCCCUAUAGCUACAUGAUAUCUCCACUGGGAGCCCUGUCCUUUCCAUGCCCUGGGAAAACCCGAUCUAAAGCAGAUUUAAAUGACUCAGCAGUAGGACUCAGGUCUCUGUCUCUGCCUGCUUACUUGGGGAGUGCUCCAGCCUUAGGGGCUCUCUUGCACUCCAACAUAGGAAAGAAAUUAUCGAUGGCUCCAUUCCCCAGCAUUUGAGACUUUUCUUCCCACAGACACAUUCCUGAGGACACCAGUCAUGGGUAAAGAACUCCACUGGGGUCAGCGUUGGAUCCCACUAGGCAGUUUAGGACUUGUAAGUAGAGUAGUGUGGACUUGGUGUUCCCAGAGCCUCUCACUCAUGAUUCAUGGCUCUCCACCCCAAGCAUCGGAACUUGCCCAACUUCACCACAGAAGGAAACAGACUGUAAGCUUGGAGGGCCAGGGAGGAAACCGGAGGCAUGUGUGGGAGGAUUAGAAACAUGAAAAGAUAUUUACAGUAAGGUUCGCUUGUCAUCCUCUUGAACUGGGGGUGCAUAGAGUACAAUAAGACCCCAUGUGAGUAUGUUAGAUGAUAAGGCUCAGGUUGGAUGGGUGUGUAGAGUAAAGGCUUUGCAUCACCUUUGCCAGGGUGAGGGAAGGCUAUGGAUAGCACAGGGGACCUUGAUGAUCGGGUGAGGGAGCCCAUGUGGACAUAGUGGUCACCAGCUACUUCCUAGUUCUCUACAUGGGAGAAAGAGCCCUUCUCUGUAAUCAUGGAAGCUCAAGUUCUUGGUGGUUCAGAGGUUAGAGACCUCUGAUUACUAGGACAGAGCAGAAUAGCAGGGCUGGUCCUGGUAGAUCAGACAUCUCAUGACAUCCUUUAAAAGGGACUAGAAUAUUCAGAACUCCGGUGUAACUAAAUGAUCCUCAAGCUUUACCAGCAGGUGAGCAAGGUCCCAUUGUAUUUGGUACUCACAUCCCCACCAAUUCUGUAAAAGUUUGCCAACUUUCCCCUCCAUCCCCUGCACCCUUUCACCAAAAGAUAUGCCUAAGAGUUCCCAAGAGACGUCUAACAUAGGCCUGCAUGUCAGCCCAGUCUUCUGGGCUGAGCUGCUGCACUGUUGCUGGCCUUGAUGGCUGAACCUGAUCUCUGUUGUGGCACCCACCACUCUUUCUCAAGCCUUGACACCUUGGCAGGCUUUGGCAAAAAGAGGAGAGCUGUUCUUCCUCGGCAUUAUGUUCACUUAGCAGGGUCCCACAGCAGGAUUGCUUGGACCCCAGAGUAUUGUAGGGCUUAAUAAGACCAGCCCUUUCAUCUCACACGCUCUAUCCUUUCUCUCACUGGUGCACCCACGUCAGGUGUCUUGAGUGGGGAGUGCUCGAAUAUCUGCCACCAGCUUGAGUCAGAACCUCGACUUCCCUCAGCUUUUCAGGGUCUGUUACUGAGUCUGGUCCACACUCCAGGGUCUUUUCCUCACGGUCUGGGUCUGGUCUUUUUCAGGUGCCUACCUUUCCUCCCUGCAAACUGCCUUGAGUUGCCUCCCCUUCUCCCUUCCUUCCUGGUCUGUCAGAGACAUCUUGUCUGGGUGCAUAUUUGAACCCCAUCAGUAGACAGAAAACAUGUAUUUCCUUGAAGGCCCCUCAGACCCCAGGGCCACCGGGGUUGGCUGAGUCAGAAUACCAGCCAUGUGGCAUGUCGCAUGGGGCAAGAGCUGUGCUGCCCAUGGGAGUCCAGAGAAGGAGCACACUAAGGACCAACACCAGAGAGAAGACAGCUGUCUGCAAACCAGAAAGAGAGUCCUCACUGCACUUCAUAUCUGCCAAUGGAUCCUUGCUCUUGAACCUCCCAACCUGCAGAAUCAUGAGAAACAAACAUUGUCAUUUGCUCUAGGGGAAGCCUGCAGCUAUGUCAUGAGGACCCUCAACAGCCCUGUGCAGAGGACUAUGUGGCAUGAAAGAUACCUUCUGCCAACAACCAGCCCCAACUUGCCAAGCAUGUGAACAAGCUAAACUGAAAGCAGAUCUUCAGCCCCAAUCAAGCCUUCAGAUGACAGUAACCUCAGCCAAUAUACUGACUAUAACCUCAUAAAAGACCCUGAACCAGAACCCUCUAAGCCACUCUCAAACUCUACCCCACAUAAACUGUGAAAUAAUAUAUGUUUAUUGUUAUUUUGGGCCACUAAGUUUAGGGGUAAUUUGUUAUGCAGCAAUUAUAUAACCAAUAUUCCAACUAAAGCUGAAAUGCCUCCUGCAUUUCCUCCCUCAGUGGCCUACACUACAAUCCAAGUUCAGGAAAAAACGAGAACCUUAUUUAAGGUAGUGGCAAGAAAUGAAUGGAUUAACUGGACAUUUAAAAAGUAUUUGAUAGAACUUGGUGAUAGGAGGUGGGGCAGUUAGGGACUAGCAGGAAUUUAGGAUGAGAGGCUCAUUCAGUUGGGCUUAUGUUUUACUGAGGUCAAUUCCAAAAGGAAGGAAAGAAAAAUCCAGCCAAAUAACCUUUAAUGGACUAAGUCUUCUUUCAUAAGUCAGUUUGCACAACUUCUUCACAGGAAUCAGAUUUUAAAUAUCAUAACUGAAGAGAAAAAAAACAGCAAGAGGAGUUUACCUUUAUGGUGGAAUGACACUAAUCUUUCAUGCUUUCAAAUUUCUUGAAAUUUCCUUCGUAUGCAUUAUCUUAUUUGCUGUUCACAGUAAAACUGUGUAUUGGCUAAGCCAGUUUUUAUGAAAAUAUAAGCAGUGAGAAAAAGUAAGAUAGUAUGUCAGUUAGUAGAUUUUUUUAUGGACAUUGUGACAGAGGACACAACUUAAACUGGCUUUUUUUUUUUUUUUUUUUUUUUUGAGACAGAGUUUUGCUCUUGUUGCCCAGGCUGGAGUGCAAUGGCACGAUCUCGGCUCACUGCAACCUCCGCCCCCUGGGUUCAAGUGAUUCUCCUGCCUCAGCCUCCCGAGUAGCUGGAAACACAGGUGCCUGCCACCGCGUCCGGCUAAUUUUUUGUAUUUUUAGUAGAGAUGGAGUUUCACCAUGUUGGCCAGGCUAGUCUCAAACUCCUGACCUCAGGUGAUCCACCUGCCUCAGCCUCCCAAACUGCUGGGAUUACAGGUGUGAGCCACCGCACCUGGCAAAAGGGUUUUGUUUCUAAAGGUACAAGAACAGGUACAGCUUCGGGUCAGUGUGAUUCAGCCCUCAACAAAGCCACCAGGAUCCAUUUCUUGGCUCUGCUUCAUUGCUUCUCAUAGGCUGGCUCAUUCUCAGACUGUACGUGAUAUGGUUCAGUGGCUUUAGGCUCCAAGCAUGACAACACCCAACACUCAGAUUGAUGGAGCUAGAGCAAGUCUCUUCAGGCAGCGUCUAGGAAAGUUCUGAAAUUCACUCUGAUUGGCUGCCCAUCUCUGAAUCAACCACGUAACCCAAGGAAAUAGGAACUGCUGAUGGGUCAGGGUCGGUUCACAUGCUUCAUACCUGGAGCUGAGAAGACAUCAACUCCAUCCUGGAGCUCAUGGGCUGUGACUAGAGCAGACGGAGUUCUCAGAGGAAAGUCAGAGUACAGUUAUCAAAGCAAGCAGUUACAGAUGCUAGAUGACCAAAAUCCAAUAACUGCCCAGUAAAAAUAUUAUACUAAAAUCUAGGAACAUGUGGCUGAUGGACAGUCAUUACCAGGAAAAAAAAGUUGUUAGGUCUAAAUGUAAAAAUUGAGGCAAAGAAAGUGCCCGAGCUAGAAUUAGAACCCUGACUACCUGAAUAUUAGAUCGGUUAGUGCCACUUCUACCCUACCGCUGCUGAGGGGGGAGGUGAACAGUCUCUCAGGUUGCAGACAGUGGAUGGUUUCCCUCCCUCUAUCUUCUCAUUUCAUGGUGGAGCUGAAUCAUCCUAUGUUCUACAUGCUGACAGUGGAAGGUUAUGACCAUACCCAUAUCCUGUUGUCUCUGAGUCUCCUGUGGUGCAGAGAUCCCUGAGACUUGUAGAACAGAACCUGAGUGGAAAGUGGGAGGGGGAUUGGGGGUGGUUCCCACGAAUCAAGCAGCAACCUGGAGACAAGGAACACCUGCAACCUCAGCAGUGGAUCAGAACGGCUGACUGAGCAAUGGACAUACUGUGCAUCUUUCAUUAGUGCUGAGACCAACUUCUAGCUUGGAGUCCCAUGAAAGGGAAACUUAGCCCUAACACCACAACAAGGAGCACAGUGUCAAGUGGGGACAUUGCAGCAGAGUUGCCGCAAAGACUCUGAAGUGCUAUGGGAAGGGAUAUUUCCUAGGAGGGGUUAAAGGGAUUCUCCUUAAGAAGGGGGCUGGGGGAAUCUGAGUAAGAGGUGGGGGAAAGCAGCCAAAGCAUGAUACUUAGUCAUAGCAUCACAAGAAUUUGACUCAGAGUUCCUACAAGGUUGUCCUAAAAUGCCCUGGUUCAGGUGGGUCAGCUUUGAAAGCACCCAAAUUACCCCGUUUUCUGUACUAUGUUUAAAGGCAAUUUGAAAGAAAGACCCCUAAUUUGGAAACAUGUGCUAAGGCUAAAUCACUUUUUCAACUGAAAAUUCUUUUUUAUGUAUUGUUACACUCCAUUUUCUGUCUUGUGUUUUUUGUUGUUGUUGUUAUUUGUUUCUUUUUUCUUUUUCUUUCUUUUUUUUUUUUUUUUGAGACAGAGUCUCGCUCUGUCCCCAGGCUAGAGUGUAGUGGCGCGAUCUAGGCUCACUGCCACCUCUGCCUCCCAGGUUCAAGCAAUUCUCUUGCCUCAGCCUCCUGAGUAGCUGGGAUUAUAGGCGCCCACCACCACACCCAGCGACUUUUUGUAUUUUUAGUAGAGAUGGGGUUUCGUCAUGUUGGCCAGGCUGCUCUUGAACUCCUGACCUCAGGUGAUCUGCCUCCCUCGGCCUCCCAAAGUGCUGGGAUUACAGGCGUGAGCCACCGCACCCCAGCCCAUUUCCUGAAUUUCAGGGGGAGUGAAUUAAUUCUAAUAUAGAGAGUGGGUAAAAGGACCAAUUUUUUCAUUACUAUUUGACUUCAUAUCAUCUUGCUUUGCAAUGCCCUGGUUUUUACAUCUAUAAAUCAGAAAUGAUAAGCAACCUGCUUUAUAGGAAUGCAAUGAAGAUAAGGAGAUACAAUAUAAAAAUAUACAUUGAGUCAGAAAGACAGAUAACACUAUUUAAACCAGUGUAUUCUUAUAAUCCUCAUUAUUACUAAGAAUGAUGUUAACAGUUAUGAUAAAAAGUCAACAUGCAGAAAGAAGAGAAUAAAGUAAUUUCUAGUUUGGGCCAAGAUGUACUCUGUAGACAUGAAUUUUUAAAAGAUGAGUGGUUAACACUUAGCAUUUGAUUCUGUGCUUGUUAUAAGUGAGCAACUGAGAAUUUCUAUCUUUUGGAGAGAGAGAGAGAGAGAGAGAGAGAGUGUGUGUGUGUGUGUGUGUGUGUGUGUGUGUGUGUGUGUUAUACAGGGAACAAGCAUUAUUUUGCAUUUGAGGUCAAAACUGGAGAAAUCAGGGAGACGUCAAGUUUUGUUCAUUAACUUUCAUACCUUUCUAACAACAGCCCCCAGAUUAAACCAAUCUUCUACUGUCAAAUUUGGGGACAUUUUCUUUAGUGGAUGGUCAUAAAUCUUGAGGGGAAUAUUGCUCACUUCUUUUAAGAAUUAAUGGUGAUUCCUAGGUGGGAGUAUGGAGUCAUGUAUCAUACCCUGAAGCAUUAUGUUUUUCCCAGCAGAGAUGCUCAAUAGAAGUCUGGAAGCUUUUGCGGCUGCCAGCAAUUUCAUGGUUACUGUCCGAAGCAGAAAGGGCACAUCAUCAAAUUCUUCCUUCUAAUGCAAUUUUGCCUUCCUGGAAUUUGUACUAUUUUUCUUACAUGGAUAGGGAAUUUUUUUUGAGAGUGCACAGUCAUGUUAAAGUAAAUACCCUGGAGAAAUACUUUCAAUUAAAAUUCAGAAGUUUUAAAAUCCAGGCUAGAAAGGAUUUCCCUGACCUACAAAACCUAAUAAGAUAUUUUUUCUUUCCAUUUUCUCCCUCCUCAUUCCCCUAAGUGUGUGGAGCUGUCCUGCUUUCUUACCUGGUGGCCCCAUUUAGCUUUGCCUUCUAGACAUUUAAGUCAGAAAAUGGCUUUAAAGAAUGUUUUGAGAAAACUUGACAUACUGAUCUACUCUCAACUCAAUGAUUUUCUUUUUUUUGAGUGGAAAAGAGAAAGAAACCACAGAAGCAAAGCAAUAAUAAAAUCUUUUAGUCAAGUAAGAAAAAUUUGACCAGGAGAUACAGAGAUAGUAUUUGUGGUGAUUGAGGCAGUUAAUACCAGAAAAGUUUAGAAAGCAGAGAUUUUGAGGCCCGAAGGGAGGGGAGUCAAACAGGCAGCAAGUCGACGUGGAGCAAGAUAGUCUUAUGUUGGAGAGUGGCCCUCUCCUCUGUGGGGCCUGGGCCUGGCAUUUCAUCUCUCGGUUGGGCUAUGAAUGCCUAGGUUGCAGAAUUUCUUAGUGAGUUUUGCACAUUAUAUAUGCAACACACCUAUGCAAUAUGAGUACAGUGCCUCAAACCUAGGUACUCAGUUAUUUAGAGUUACCAUUGUAAAAUAUUAAAUGCCUGGGUAUGAAAGAAUGAAAAUCUCUUCCUCUCUCAAUGUGUUCUCGGGAUUAUGGCUUUAAAAAAUAGCUGUUCAACUAAAACUAAUUAAAACUUCCAGGUUAGAACCUAGAAGCAGACAUACAACGACUAAAAUGAGUGCAAGAGGAUAAUGGUGUCCAUUAGAGAUUAUUCUUACUCAGAGGCAGGGCUAGGACUAGGGAGAGGCAAGAGAAGCAUCCAGGGUGAACACUUAAGAGGCACCCAGCUUCAGGGCCUGCAGGCACUAAGCCUGAGCUUGCACAACACUGAGAGUGCGACUCCAUGCCCUACCCUAGGCCCUGUCCUGUUCAAAGGACAUCCUACCUGGCUCAUUGGCAGGAUAUCUUGCCCCGUCCCCAAUGGUUUCUUUCACACUCGCAAUACCUGGAGACAAAACAGCCACCAUUGUCAGACUUCUUUGACUUUCCAAACAAACUCCAGAAAGAUCAUUACAGGACCCAGCAUGAGAAGGGAAACCGAGGUGCAUUGAAAGCAAUAAAAUUUAACCGCAGAGAUGAUUUCAUGUUCAAUCAUCAAAAUACACAGAGGGACUUGCUAAAAUGUCCACCGUUGAGGGUAACAACCCAUGACCUUAUUCUUUCUCACACCAGCCUUAGUAUAUAUAAAUGCUAAGAAUAGCAAACAGGAUCUUUUUUAUUGGCUUUUCAAGAACAACAUUGGGGCCUGGAAGACACCAGUCACCUUCAAAAACAAGCAACAAUAGGAAGCUUGAAGCUGUUGGUGCACAGCUUUCAACAUACACACUUUUUAAAAAAUAAUUUCAACUUAAAAAUUUUAGAUUUAGGAGGUACAUGUGUGGGUUUGUUACAUGGGUAUAUUGCAUGAUGCUGAGGUUUGCGGUACGAUUGAUCCCAUCACCCAGGUACUGAGCAUAGUUGCCAAUUGGUGGUUGUUUUUAACCCUUGUUCCACUCCCUUCCUCUCCAUUCGAGUAGUCCCUACUGACUAUUGUUGCCCUCUUUAGUCUAUGAGCAGCCAAUGUUUAGCUCCCCCUUAUAAGUGAGAACAUGUGGUAUUUGGUUUUCUGUUCCUGCAUUAACUUGCUUAGGAUAGUGGCCUCCAGCAGCAUCUAUGUUGUUGUAAAAGACAUGAUUGCAUUCUUUUUAUGGCUGUAUAGUAUUUCACAGUGAACAUAUUUUUCUUAGACAUUGUUUUCAAAACAUUUCAUUGCUUGAUUUGCUCAACCCCAUUCUCCAUCUAAAUCAUUUGUAAACAUAGCCUGAUAAUUACUUUGGAUUAAUUGGUAUUAUUUGAUAAAAUCAUACAAAGCUAGAUUUUUGAGAAUGGUAAUAUGUUAGGAAUGUGUUUGGCUAUGAGUAACAGAAAACCCAACUACAUGACUUUUAGCAUAGGGGUUUAUUUUUCUUAUGUAACAAGAUAUCCAGACUCAGGCAGUUUCUGGUAUAGGUUCAGUUCCUUAGUUCUCUGGGUCAUUCUCUCAUAAUAAUGACAUGGCUGGGUAGCUCCAACUACUGAGGCAGUAUAUAAGGCAGAGAGAAGGAGGGGCAGUGGAAGGAAGGCACACCAUGGUUGUCCCCUUUUACAAAGAAAGCAAAAGCUUCCCCAGCAACCCAUACCAGCCCCCCUCAUUAUGGGUUGAGUGUUGUCCUCUCCAAAGCCAGAUAUGUUUUUCCCAACCUCCAGUACCUCUGAAUCAGCAUAGUUUUUGUUCUUUGUGAAUCUGAACUUACUUGGAGAUAGGUCUUUACAGAGGUAAUCAAAUUAAAAGGGUGACGGUCAUUGGGGUGGACCCUAACCCAAUAUAAAAAAGGGAAAUGUGGACACAGAGACAUGCAUACUAGGAGAGAACCAUGUGAAUGAGAAGCAUGCAUCUACAAGCCAGGGAGAGAGGCCUGGAGUAGAUCCUUCCCUCAGAGCCAAGCUUACAAACAUCUUGAUUUCAGACUUCUAGCCUCCAGAACUAUGGGACAAUACAUUGCCUUUCCAGAAGCCACCCAGGUUUUGGUACUUUGCAAUGGCAGCCCCAGAAAACUAAUGCAUACCAGAAGACUUGUUUUCAUACAUUAUUAGCCAGAACUGUGCCCCUGGCUUCCCUGACUACAAGGGAGGCCAGGCAAGUAUAUAUUUAACUGAACAUAUUUCAAUCAGAGCAUUAGGAUUCUGGUAGCAAAGAAAAAAAGUGGGGGAAGGGCGUAAAUAAUCAAGAGCAUUUUCCACCAGGGAGAAAACGCUUGCACUUAAUGAGUGGCCACAGGAUGGGUAGCUCUCCCUCCAACACUAAUCAGAUUUGAAGUAACAGCAUGUUGGGGAUAAAGUUAGGCAGUAGAAAGAGUGCAAGGGGUUUGGGGACUAGCACUCACUUUGCCGCAACUUCCUACGUGGUUUCACACAAGUUGCUUUAACCUCCAAGCCUCAGCUUUUUUAAUCUGAUAAAUGGGAUUAAUAAUCUAUGCUCUUAGCAUUUUAAUAGAGCUUUUUUUUUUUUUUUUUUUUUUUUUUCCAGACGGAGUCUCACUCUGUCACCAGGCUGGAGUGCAGUGGCACGAUCUCGGCUCACUGCAACCUCCACCUCCUGGAUUCAAGCAGUUCUCCUGCCUCAGCCUCCCGAGUAGCUGAGACUACAGGCACGCAUCACCAUACCCAGCUAAUUUUUGUAUUUUUAGUAGAGACGGGGUUUCAUCAUGUUAGCCACGACAGUCUCGAUCUCUUGACCUCGUAAUCCACCUGCCUUGGCCUCUCAAAGUGCUGGGAUUACAGAUGUGAGCCACCGUGCCCGGCCAAUUUUUAUUAUUUUUGGUUUUUUUUUUUUUUUUUUUUUUUUUUUUUGAGAUGGAGUCUCACUCUGUUGCCCAGGCUGGAGUGCAGUGGCACAGUCUUGGCUCACUGCAACCUCCGCCUCCCAGGUUCAAGUGAUUCUCCUGCCUCAGCCUCAUGAGUAGCUGGGACUAUAUGUGCCUGCCACCACGCCCAGCUAAUUUUUGUAUUUUUAGUAGAGAUGGGGUUUCACCAUAUUGGCCAGGCUGGUCUCAAACUCCUGACGUUGUGAUCCUCCCACCUUGGCUUCCAAAAGUGCUGGGAUUACAGGAGGGCAGUUUUUAAAAGGGUUUAUCAUUCUAGUGUUGUCUAUCUACACUGCCCUCUGAGAUCUGAUGGGGUAAAGCAAAGGAUACCAACUAAGCUUGCAGGCUUUGGAGUCACCUCACCUGUUCCUAUCACUUAGAUGUUGUGUGGUCCAGGAUCAGUUACUUAACAUCUCUGUGCCACAGUUUUCUUAUAUGUGUAUAAUAGGUAUAUGAUUAGUAGCUAAAUGAGACAGUUGUGAGCAUGAAAUAAUAUAUGUAAAGCAUUCAGAACAGUGCCUGGCACAUAGCAAACUUUAUAUAUGUUAGCUGUUAUUAUCAGGCCUAUCCAAUUUAUAAGUGAUAUGGAAUCGAGAAGGAUAGCAAAUGUUUUAGACCAUAAAAUCAAGAAUCUAAAAAAGAUUUUGACAGAAAGGAAAUGAGCCAAAUAUAAAAAGAUGAAGUUUAAUAAGUACACAUAAAGGUCCUGUCUUGGGGUAAAAUAGCAAGAAUGAGGGAGGCCUAUAGGUUUUUAGUUUAUUAUAAAUUUAAUAUAAGUUAACCAUGAGAUGCACUUACAAAACAAAAUUAGAUUUAGGUUGCCUUGAUAGAAACACAGUAUUGGAAACAAAGGAAAAUAGAACCCAACUCUGUCUCUGCACUGGUUGGACCACACUUGAAAUAAUAGAUUUCCUUCUAGUAUUCCUCACAGCAGCCCCUGAAAAUUGAUAAUUGCCUUCACGUUCUUUAAGGGCUGGUAUAUGAAAAAGAAAAGAGAUGUAUUUUGGGGAUGCUACAGAAGACAGAACAUCCCCAAUAUGAAUAAAGUAGAGGUCUGCUGGACUACAGCUCAGUCUUAGAUGACUAUGAGCCACCUGGAAAUGGAAUGGCCUCCUUCAGGUGGGUUGCAUGGGGGCCCCUGCUCACCUAAAUGCUUAAGCCAUAGCUGGUGGGAUAAUUCGUGGUGAAGGAUGUUGCCAAGCAGACCAACAAGUAGGCAUCCCUACUGCUUUGAGGAAGGGGUAGGUACUCCCACAGAAGUCACAUGUUGGUUGCCCAUUGGCCAAAUUUGGUCUGCUAUUGUGUAGUUUUUGUUCUAUGUGAAAUAUUUUUUUUUUCUUGUAUAUCUGGAUUCCUUGUCAAAAUUUAAAAAUCAGGAGAUUUCACACAAAAAAAAUUCUUUUUCUUUUUUUUUGCUUUCUUUGAAAGAUAAGAUGAUCUAGCAGCACAUGGUGGAUCUGUAUUGUCACAGAUGGCUGGAGUUGAGCAGUAGCCAUCACCUUUAAAUGGAAUGUGCGUCCUCCAAUUAUCCAACAUCCUCACCUGGCCCACCUUACUCAUUGAGGUUACCUGUCUGGUCCAUAAGCAUUUGAGUUUGUGAUUCACAUGCCGGUCUCUAGGGGCUUCCCUUACCCUGAGGGUCUAGACAUUUCCUUAGUUUUGUCCUGCAAACAUUAGGAGAAAUUAGUUAAAUCUGUGGAAGUGUGGGUAAAAUUCAGAUACAUGUAGAGACUGGGGAUGUGUUACAGAAUAACUGCAAGUUUUAGAAAACACUGACAUAGCAAAUGUUUAAAGCUAAGUCUACAUUAAGGAGCAAAAAACAUUAAAAAAUUUUAUUUGAAUUUUGGUUGCAAUCUACAUGUUCUAAAUAUAUAUGGUUCUUGCUGAUAUCUCCCUAAUCUUUGAACCCGUUCCAUUCUUCAUAAGUCAUCAUGGAUCCUUGCAUUGUAUUUAUUGAUGGAUGGAUGGACAAAUGGAUAGAAAUCAUGCAGGAAGGAUGGAGAACAUAGAGAAAAAUGUAACCAAAUGAGUACUAUUGUUUCUUUCUGUGACAUAUGAUCAUGUAAUAAGUGUGUAUUAAGUAUUCUGUGUCAAGCAUGGUGCCAGGUUUUAGGGGAUGCAAAAAAGGAGUAAAAAACACAGACAUGUUCUGAGGACCUUGUUACUUUUGCCCUUAUUGUUAGUUUCAGCUUAAAAGUUAGGACUCUAAAAUUUGAAAUCCAGGCUCAUUGGGUUCAAAUCCAGGCUGUACUCCUUCUGUGCUCUGUAAUUUUGAGCAAUUUACUUAACCGCUUAAUAAAAUAAGGAUGAUGCCAAUAAUAUCUAUUUCCUGAUGUUGUUUGGAGGAUUAAAUGAGAGAAUCAUGUAAGAGCAUUUAGUACAGCACUCAGCACUUAGUGAGCAUUCAAUAAAUUAUUCUAAACUAGCUUCCUUCAAUACCUGCAGAAGGAACAUCAAAAUGAGAAAAGAAGGUUCAUUUGUGUGGACACACAGACACACACACACACACACACACACCCUCACUCAAAACUGGUCUUACUUUCACACUUCUUUUCCCUUUCCUCCUUCUCCCCUUUAUCUGCUGCCUCCUCCACCUCUUUUCUCUAUGACUUCAAAGUUAAUUUUUUUAACAAUUUAUCAUCAACUUUUUAAACAUAUAGCAAUGUUGAAAAUUUUUUCCAGUAAAUAACCAUAAAUAGGUGAGAUUCUGUGCUCUAGGGGCAUUGAUUCACACUAAGCAAAGUUACAAGGAGCUAGAAUAACAAUGUAUAUCUACUAUAUUUCUUUCUCCCUUAUCCUCUGGUAUUUGACUUCUGUCUUUUAUUUAAUACUUUUUUUUUGUAUUGUAGUUCCUGUAUUUUAUUGUAUUUGUUCAUACUUCCUCUCUGGAAUAAAAGAAAUAAGAAACAAGUAUGUAAAUAAAUAAAAAUAGAUACUAUGUGUUUACAAAGGGAAAUCUCAUAUAAGUCAGUUCAUUCAAAAGAGGAAAUCACAGAUCAGAAGGUUGCUAUGGUAAAG
RNAcentral lists this long non-coding RNA (14122 nucleotides) under Homo sapiens (human). RNAcentral describes it as "non-protein coding lnc-KLF7-1:29". The record is from RNAcentral. Lineage: Eukaryota; Metazoa; Chordata; Mammalia; Primates; Hominidae.